RNAcentral lists this ribosomal RNA (422 nucleotides) under uncultured bacterium. RNAcentral's name for it is "bacterial SSU rRNA". It matches the Rfam family "Bacterial small subunit ribosomal RNA", at positions 355 to 774 of the family's 1533-position model. The record is from RNAcentral.
UGAUUAAUCUUGGUCAAUGGACGAGCGUCUGAACCAGCCAUGCCGCGUGAAGGAUGAAGGCGUUCUGCGUUGUAAACUUCUUUUGCGGGGGAAGAAACCUUGAUAUUCUUAUCAAGCCGACGGUACCCCGAGAAUAAGCACCGGCUAACUCCGUGCCAGCAGCCGCGGUAAUACGUAGGGUGCAAGCGUUAAUCGGAAUUACUGGGCGUAAAGCGUGCGCAGGCGGUGAUGUAAGACAGAUGUGAAAUCUCCAGGCUCAACCUGGAAACUGCCAUUGAUACUAUUAGUCUUGAAUAUUGUUGAGGUGGGCGGAACGGGUCAUGUAGCGGUGAAAUGCAUAGAUAUGACCCGGAACACCGAUUGCGAAGGCAGCCCACUAAGCAAUGAUUGACGCUGAGGCACGAAAGCGUGGGGAUCAAACA